This 1196-nucleotide ribosomal RNA is filed under the name Aderus sp. NLG-2012. RNAcentral describes it as "partial 16S ribosomal RNA". Lineage: Eukaryota; Metazoa; Arthropoda; Insecta; Coleoptera; Aderidae. The record is from RNAcentral.
AUCUUUAAAAUUAAAAAAUUUGGCGGUAUUUUAAUCUAUUCAGAGGAACCUGUUUUUUAAUUGAUAAUCCACAAUUAAAAUUACUUUAAAUUUAAAUUUAUAUAUCGUUGUAAUUUGAAUAUUUUUAUAUUAAAUAUUAUCAGAUCAUGAUAUAGUUAAUUUUAAAGAUAAAAUGGGUUACAUUUAAAAAAUUUAAUAAAUUGGAUUUGAAAGUAAGUUUUAAAAUAUGCACAUAUUGCCCGUCACUUUCAUUUAAAUUGGAAUAAGUCGUAACAAAGUAGAUUUACUGGAAAGUGCAUCUAGAAACAAAUUAUAGCUAACUAAGUUUUUUAGUUACAUUAAAAAGAUAAUUGUAAAUUCAAUUUAAUUUGAAUUUAGUUUUUUAUUAAUAUAGUUAAUUAGGGGAAUUUAACUAAAAUAUUAAGAAAAAAUAUUAUGAUAAUUAAUAUUACUGAAAAGGAAAAUAUUAAUAUAAAAAAAAGAAAUUUUUUAUUAGUGUACCUUGUGUAUCAGGGUUAAUUAAUUUAAUUUCUCGAAUUUAAAAGAGCUAAUUUUAUUGUAUCAAAAAUAUUUUAAAUAGAAUUUUAGUAAUGAAAUGUUAGACGUUUUUAAAUAUAUCUAGUUUUUUAAUAAAAAAAUUUAAUUAGGUUAUCAAUAUUAAAAUUAUUUAGGGAUAAGCUUAAAAAUUUAUAUUUAUAAAUUCAAAAAAAAAAAAAAAUUAUAGGAUUAGAAAUUUUUAUUAAUUAAAAUUUGUUAUUAUGAAUUUUAAAUUUUAUAUUAAAAUAAAAUUUUUUAUGUAAAAAAAUUUGAAAUAAUGAUUAAAUUAGUAAAUAUGUAAUAAGGAAUUCGGCAAUUAAAAUUUUACCUGUUUAUUAAAAACAUGGCCUUUUGUUAAUAAUUUAAGGUCUAAUCUGCUCAAUGAUUAAAUAGCUGCAGUAUAUUGACUGUACAAAGGUAGCAUAAUCAUUAGUUUUUUAAAUGAAAGCUGGAAUGAAUGAUUUGAUAAAAAUUUUACUGUCUCUAGAAUUUUAUUUUUAAUUUAAAAAGAUUAAAUAUUUUAAAAAGACGAGAAGACCCUAUAGAGUUUUUUGAUUGGGGUGAUUAUAAAAUUUAAUGAACUUUUAAUAUUUGAAUAAUUGAUCCUAGAUUAAAAGAAAAAUUACCUUAGGGAUAACAGCGUAAUUUCUUUGGAGAGU